UAGCGUUACUUCCCUUCUCUCCUCCACCCUGCCCUCUCCUCCUCAAAUGCGAGAGUGUGGGAGUGGGGGACACCUUAUCUCAGACAUGGAGAGCUCUGGUCUCCGAGAGUGCUGAGCCGCAGGGGGCGCGGGGGAACCCGGGGCGGGGGGGCCGCCGACAGCUCGGCAAAGUUGGGCGUGUGCUUGUGCGCGCCAGGCGUGAGCUAGCAGGCGGCCACGGUGGUUCCCCUCGCACACCCCCUCCAGAGAAUUCCCCGAGAAGGCGGGCGCCGGCUUCGGGCCCGGGAUAGACCUGCGGCGGCGGCGGGAACGGCCACGCACAGGGAAGCCUCAACUGCCAGAAAACUGGUCUCCUGGAUCCUAAAGGUGACCUUCUUCCACGUCUGCCAGACCUUUCCCAUUGAGGUCAGAGGGAAGAUAAGACAACUGUGGCCUGCUGGCCUUUCCUUCCCAUCAGUGAUGUGCUGGAACCCAGGUCACCUCGGAGAAGAAAACAAAAUGAUUGUCCCUUUUUAGAACUGAGGAAAGGCAGGCCUGCCAAGUGCUCAUUAACCAGAUCAACCAUCCAGUCUCCUGACUGGAGCAUCAAACUCUGGCUGCUGACCUUCUGGAGUUGCUGACGGGGAGAUCAGUGUUCUCAACAUUCCGUAAGCGAAUUUUCCUUUAAUUACCAUAUUUCCUGUAUACUACUUGUACCUUCCACUGUGCCUGGUAUUCUUUGUGUGGUCCCACAAGUUCCAUGUCCAUGCUUAUGUACUGUGCUCUGUGCUUUAGAAGCCUGACCUCUGUGGAUAUCAUCAGUUGAGAUGAG
This 811-nucleotide long non-coding RNA is filed under the name Bos indicus x Bos taurus (hybrid cattle). RNAcentral describes it as "lncRNA (ENSBIXG00005004107.1)". Lineage: Eukaryota; Metazoa; Chordata; Mammalia; Artiodactyla; Bovidae. The record is from RNAcentral.